GGUGAGGGGUUUUGUGUUCUGAUUGAGAUUUGUGCAUGGGUUUGUCUUCAUUAGUGGAUAAUUGUGUCUUCAGUUGGUGAUCUGCUACAAGUAAAUCAAUCGUACCUGGGUGUAGAAGAUAAACGUGUUAGAUCAAUCAGGAUAUGGGUUUAUGCUUUGAUUGUUGCAUGUUCUUCAAUUAUAAUUCUUUUUUUUUUUUUUUUUCUUGGCUGAUGGCCACAAGCCUUGGUAGAUCUUUAAGAUUCAAGAGAAUCAGAUUAGGGAAGUUGAUGUAGGUGUUUCUGAUUUGUCAUCUAGAUGAUUAAUGAUUUCUGAUGCAAUUUUUUAGAUCUACAUGUUUCUACCUGAUCAAGGUUUGGCUUUGAUUUUGCUCUCUGUUGCUAUUGCUUUCUGUUUCUAGAUGCUGGAUACCAAUAGAGUUGAUCAUCGCUAAAUUCACUAUACCUAUUCAAAUGUAAAAAAAGGAGUGAGGGGGGAUUUAAUCUAGAUACAUUUUGCUUAUACACUAUUCUUUUCUCUUUUAUUGAAGACCUCUUUUCAUUUAUUUGUAUGCAGCCUCCAUUUCAAAAGUGCAAAUUACUUAGCAGCAACAGAGAAGCAAACAAUCGUUUAGCUUAAGCAAACAAUCAUUUAUCUGCCAAAGCUAAAUAACGCUUCAGGUAAAAGCCUCUGUCUGUGCAUUGUUCUUUGAAUUUUAAACUUCUCAUACAACGGUUUCUCUUUGUGUAUGGGUCUAUUUUUUUCAACAGCUUUAUUCAGAAUGUUAGAUGGCAGAAAUUUUAAUAAUUUUGUAUGAGCUGUAUGAUUGUUUAAUUUCUGUUUGUGUAGAUGUGAAGAAAUGAAAGUCUUGAUAAAUCCAAGUCACUUUUAUUUAUCUUAAAUAGUCUCAUUGAAAAUGGUUGGUUUGAAAGUAAUAUGGGAUGUGACAAUUUUUAACUGUGUUAGCCCAAAUUGCAUAUAUGGUGAACAUUUUGUGCAAUAAGUUUGAUGGAUGAAUGUGAUGUACCCAUUCAGAUUUUUUGUUAAAACUUAAUAAAAUGAAAACUGUUUUGUCUUUUUUUUUU
Molecule: long non-coding RNA, 1064 nt
Filed under: Rosa chinensis
Lineage: Eukaryota; Viridiplantae; Streptophyta; Magnoliopsida; Rosales; Rosaceae
Description: sRNA RchiOBHm_Chr5g0047831
Source: RNAcentral